GCCCCUGUGGCGCAAUCGGUAGCGCGUAAGACUUCUACGACAUGGUCAUCUUAAGGCUGUGGGUUCGAGCCCCACCAGGGGCU
Aspergillus piperis CBS 112811 is the source of this 83-nucleotide non-coding RNA. The record is from the annotation of a RefSeq genome assembly. NCBI's taxonomy places the organism in Eukaryota, Fungi, Ascomycota, Eurotiomycetes, Eurotiales, Aspergillaceae.